RNAcentral lists this ribosomal RNA (440 nucleotides) under uncultured bacterium. RNAcentral describes it as "partial 16S ribosomal RNA". It matches the Rfam family "Bacterial small subunit ribosomal RNA", at positions 338 to 795 of the family's 1533-position model. The record is from RNAcentral.
CCUACGGGCGGCAGCAGUGGGGAAUAUUGCACAAUGGGGGAAACCCUGAUGCAGCGACGCCGCGUGAGUGAAGAAGUAUUUCGGUAUGUAAAGCUCUAUCAGCAGGGAAGAAAAUGACGUUACCUGCUUAAGAAGCCCCGGCUAACUACGUGCCAGCAGCCGCGGUAAUACGUAGGGGGCAAGCGUUAUCCGGAUUUACUGGGUGUAAAGGGAGCGUAGACGGCAGCACAAGUCUGGAGUGAAAUGCCGGGGCUUAACCACGGAACUGCUUUGGAAACUGUGCAGCUAGAGUGCAGGCGAGGUAAGUGGAAUUCCGAGUGUAGCGGUGAAAUGCGUAGAUAUUAGGAGGAACACCAGUGGCGAAGGCGGCUUACGGGACUGUAACUGACGUUGAGGCUCGAAAGCGUGGGGAGCAAACAGGAUUAGAUACCCUAGUAGUC